Acipenser ruthenus (sterlet) is the source of this 3768-nucleotide RNA transcript. It is a transcript of the gene named leucine-rich repeat-containing protein 72-like, with no coding region annotated. The record is from RefSeq and is a predicted model, not a curated record. The transcript has 5 exons. NCBI's taxonomy places the organism in Eukaryota, Metazoa, Chordata, Actinopteri, Acipenseriformes, Acipenseridae.
CUUUCGGGAUGUUUACGUGCAAGCCGUGUGGGAAGUACAAUGACGUGACCUUGUUUUUGCUGAGGAGGGCGAUACUAGAAUGUGACGAGGGCGGUGACCAUUUUUGCGUGUGGAUUUUUUGUUUGUUUGUUUAGUGAGUAACAUAACUUGGUCACUUGUAACCCGCAGUGGAACUUCUAGAAGGUUAGAUUCUUGUAAAUGUCUAAAGACUGGAAACCAAAUCACUACAACCUGGGAAAGUUACCUGUGUGUUUUUUUUUUGCACCACUAAAGUAGGUGCUGCAUUUUCAUUUUUGUGCCCAAGCGUUAAUUUAAUUUAUUUUUAAUAUACCACGCUUAAAACAUAAUUUGUUGAAGCAGUAUGUAUAUAUGUUUAUAGAUCUUAAUAUGUUUGGUAACGUUUUUAUUGUGUAUCAUUUUUGUCAUGUUUUCAGAUUAUUUUUAUGGGUUUUUUUUUUUUUUUUUAACAAAAAGUGAAAGGCAAUCACUUGACAAUACAGAAACUGAAAUUCAUGAUCUAAAGUGGAAAGAAGGCUGGGGUCCUGUACAGAAAGCAGAAAUGGACAAUUUCACUUCUUGAUCUGUUAUUUGUACAGGGUGUUUCAGUGAUCUGGAAAAAAAAAACUCUUAACACAAAUAAUGGACACCUAAAAUUGAAAUCUAGUACAGCCUUGGAUUUAUUUAUUUAUCUUUUUAUUUUUUUUUAGCUGAACUGUUUAGUAAAUACAACAUAUUUGGAAAUGUUUAUAUAAUACCAGGUCAACAAUGUGGGCUGUCAAUUGAAGGUUGUGUAGAUAAAAUAUAACCUAAAGUGAUCUUGUGUAACAACCCACAGUGGAAUUUCCAGAAGAUUCUAGUUUCUUCAUAAAUGUUUAAUGGCUGACACCCCAAUCACAAUUCUUUUUUUUCUAUAGCACUGGGUUUAUGGUAAAGAUUUUGUGUUGUUCCCUACACUAAUUUGUUAUGCAAAUAGUUGACCUCUGUUUCAUCCCUGUAAUAGUGAUUACACAGUGGGGAAUAAUCCAGGGUAAACAUUCCCUGGUGCUGUAAAAAUGUUCCUAUAAAAUCCAGUUGUGGCAAAUUCUGACCGGAUAGAUUUGGAUUAUUUAGAUUUUUUUUUUUUUUUUUUACUGUGAAUGGAUAAUCUCAUUAUCUUGAAUCCUCUGCUAGAAAAUGUUGUGACUGAGUUACCCUUGGUUCCCAUGUGAUUUGUUUGCAUAGAUCAUAUUCUGCAUGAAAACCCCUAGGGCUCUCUGUUGUACUUUCCACCUACAAUAGAGUAUAUGACAGCUUUACUUUCCUUCUACAAUAGAAUUCUAUGUACAGUAUUUGAGUGUAAACUACCACAAAAAAAAGGUUUAGGGUACUUCUACAGUAUGUGCGCUUCAAAUAGGCUAAUAAUAUGCAGAUUAUUCUCCUGUUUGAAAACAUUUACAAACAAAACAGAAAAAAAUCAAAUAAAAAAUAAGAAAGAAACCAAAAUGGUUAAUACAUUUCUUGUACCUCAGGUGAAACAUUUAGCCCUGCCCCAUUUUUACUAGGAUUGGGGAAAACAUCAUUCUAUUUUCGUUGUUUAGAAUUAGCCAGGAUGUAGCUGUGUUGAUUGUGUUUAUCUGUGAUACUGGGACUGGGGUUAACAAUUGCCCUUUUUUGAAAAAAUAGAAGCCCCUGCAGCACAAUGUCCCCCAACACCACCCUGGAGAACUGGCUCAGAAAGAAGACUGCCACCACCCUAACUCCUUUUUUGGAUGCAGAGCCUUAAGGGAUAUGAAGGAUCAAAUUCAGUGAAGGCAAACCAGAACCAACAUACACUCUGGGUUUCUUUGUGUCUAUGACUACAAUCUGGUGUUUUUUUUUUUUAUUCUAGCAUAAGAGUUAAAAUAGGCAAAUAGAAAAUAUUGCUGUUAAUAAAUGUCUGUCUUCUAGAAUUCCAAUGCCUUCCUUCCCUCUGGCUCCAGCCCUGCAGUAUUCAGCCUGCAUAAUGGCAAAGGUUAAGAUGGAAUUAUCCAGAUCAUGCUUUCUGCUUGUGAUACUACUUCUUGCCAUGAAAAGAUUUAAUUUGCUACAGAGGCCUACCCCGAGAGAGAGCUGUGCACUGGAGACUCGGCUUGUUCUUUUCUUUCCUAUGAAACUUUGAAAAAUAAGUCAGUUUGUGGUUGAGAUCUGUAUGCUGUGUUUGUCUGGUUUCCUACAUGCUGGGAUUGCGGUGCCUGUCCUUUGCUUACCAGGACCUUGAAGAGAUUCCCUACAUCUCAAUACUCCAGCACCAGGACACCCUGGAAGUACUGGAUCUGAGCUACAAUCUCCUGGAGCACUCUACUGGGAGAGCUGGAGAAACUCACCACCUUGAUUCUGGACUGCAACAACUACACGUCACAUGUGAAGUUCCCAUUCAUGCCCAGUGUCACAACGGUGUGGAUAAACAAAAACAAAAUAAAAAACCUGCCCACAUUUGUCGAAGAAGUAAGAAGGAAGAAUUCUCAGUAUGAUGAACAACGAAGCUGCACCAAGUUAUUUAAUGGAGGGAGUCUGUGUCAGUAUCUGGAUUACAGACAGUAUGUUAUCAGCCAGAUCCCAGGUUUGGAGGUGCUGGAUGACAAAGAAGUUUUGGAAGAGGAGCGCAUUGAAGCUCAAAACGUGUAUAAGCUCCAGAGAUCAAGUGUGUUCAAGAAGAAAAAGACAUAAGAAAAUAACCCCAGCUCAGGCUGAUCUUCGCAAUCUUCAUACUUCAUACUUCAUACGUCAUACUGCCCUACAGUCUGCAGCAGCCAUGCAGAAGUAUACAUACUGGGUACACCAGUAUGUAUAAAUAAUAAUGGCACCUUGUUUGUUAUGUGCAUCCCCCUUGCUGUAAUGUGCUCUAAAAAAUAUAUUCGAGACCUAUCCUAGCAGAGUAUUAAUUGAUCAAAUCAACCCCUUACAGCUUAAACUUUUAACAGUGCUUGUAUGCUUUUAAAAAAAGGUUAUUUUGCAUAAUCUAUUUAUUCAUUCUUUUCUUUUCCCUGUUUUCCUUAUUUUAAAAUUCCUUCUACCAAAAGUUUGGCUUUAGAUAUCACGUUAAACCAAGCAUCGACUGUGGCCUUAAUUUAAAAAAUAUAUAUUUAUCAGUUAACUGAUUUUCAAUUUGGAACUAAGUGAUCUUUCCUAGACCUGCAGGUCUGCAGUAUUGAAAGAGUGAGUUAAAGGCUGUUUUUAAAAGAGCGUUUCUAAAGAAAUCAUGAAAAUCACUCUUUAUUGUAUUCUGUUAAAAUAUCUCUCUUUUACAGACAGCAACCCUGCUCUUUCCUCCAAACACUCUGCAGCCACAAAAAAACCACACCCGAAAAAGAAUCACCCCAGAAAAAGGAACCACACCCGAAAAAGAAUCACCCCAGAAAAAGGAACCACACCCUUCCCAGGAAGUAAUAGCCAUAUUUAAAGAGCUCCCAAUUAAGAUACUUAAAUACACAAUGAUAAAUCAAGCUCAAUAAGCCCUUUGCCAAGGCAAUUAGCAAAACACCUGACUCUAAUUAGAAUUUCCAUAUCGAAAUUAAGGAAAAGAUCAUUCAGUUAAAACAAGAGAGACCAGUGCAGAGAUAAACCCCUUACCAAAACUGACAGUAAAUUGAUAUAGCUUCACCUAAGUUUUACCUUAUGAAUCUGAAAGGCCCACUUUAGAAUCGAGGACAAAAUUACUUAUUUAGCAAUUGAAUAGAGAAUUAACUUAACCUGGCCAGGUAUUCUGAUACUCAAUUAAGAGCAGCAGGCAGCAAAUUACUUAUGCUACAU